Molecule: ribosomal RNA, 627 nt
Filed under: Triticum aestivum (bread wheat)
Lineage: Eukaryota; Viridiplantae; Streptophyta; Magnoliopsida; Poales; Poaceae
Description: partial small subunit ribosomal RNA
Source: RNAcentral
AUGAUUUUUGAAAAUUUCAUACAGCUAGCUGAAGGUACGUGUGGAGCAGCGAAAGAAGAAUCUUAUGCAUUCUUGAAGAGUUUGUGGGAUAACCGGAUGCCUAUGGCUGGCCUCGGUUUCCAUCCGACUGAACAGGAGCUGCUCGACCAUCUUCGGGCGAAGCUAAUGGAUGACGGAAUCAAUUCUCAUCCACUCAUUGGCGAGUUUAUAACAACCAUACAGGACGAAGACGGCAUAUGCCACACUCAUCCCGAAAAUCUUCCAGGCGUUACAAAGGACGGCAGCGCAAAGUAUUUCUUCCAUCGCACAUCCAAUGCGUACACGACUGGCAAAAGGAAGAGGCGCCAGAUACAGGGGGAACUGACGUGGCAUCAGACGGGAAAAGGCUGUCCCGUUACCGUCGACGGUCGAGUGAUGGGAUACAAGAAGUUCAUGGUUCUGUACAAUUGGAGGCAACACAGGCGGGAGAGUGACAAAUGGGUGAUGCACCAAUUCCAUAUCGGCGAACGGUGGGAUGAGGAGGGAGAGCUGGUCGUCAGCAAGAUCUUCUGCCACCCCGCAAAAGAAAAAGAAAAAGCAAGAUCUUCUGCCAGACGAAGCACCCGUGAGACGAUGGUAAGGUAUUAG